RNAcentral lists this long non-coding RNA (711 nucleotides) under Ananas comosus (pineapple). RNAcentral's name for it is "long non-coding RNA (ACOM_LNC027761)". Lineage: Eukaryota; Viridiplantae; Streptophyta; Magnoliopsida; Poales; Bromeliaceae. The record is from RNAcentral.
CAUUAAAACCAUUAACCCAUAAACCCAUAUACAUAAACCUAUAUACAUUUACCCAUGAACCCAUACACAUUUAACCCAUAUCCAAGCCCAUAACCUUAACCAAGUCCAUGAACUUUGAACCAAAACCAUGGACCAAACCAUACACCAAAUCCUGUGGACCAUACCAUACACCAAAUCCACGAACUAUGAAUCAAGUUCAUGAAUCAAAUCAAGUUCAUGAGCCAUGGAUCAUAAACCACAAACCAUACACCAAGUUCAUGAACCAUAAACCCAUGAACCAUAAGUCCAUGAACCAUAAACCCAUGAACCAUAAGUCCAUGAACCAUAAACCCAUGAACCAUAAGUCCAUGAACCAUAAACCCAUGAACCAUAUCUAAGUUCAUGAACCAUAAUCCCAUAUACCCAAUACCAUAAACCUUGUGAACCAAACCCAAACCAUCGACCGAAACGUCGUUAAACUAAUCCACCAAAUCAAUCGACCGAAACGUCGUUAAACUAAACCUAAAUCCGAUAUCGACCGAAAUGUCGUUAAACUAAACUCAAGUUCAAUUUUCACGAACAUCCCAAUUCCCAAAAUAUUCGAUUCUCUAGCAUAUAAAACUAGAGUCAAAUCACAAUCAUGUUCAAACUUGAUCAAAUUCUAAACCUAUAUUUAGAAUUGAUCAAACCAUCUGAUCAAAUUAAUUUGUUGGAUUCCAAUACAUACACUUG